AUUAUUAUAUAUAUAUAUAAAAAUAUAUUAAUAAAUAUAUAAUUAUAUAUUAUUAUAAAAUAUUAUUGAUAUUAUAAAUAUAAAAUAUAAUAUAUUAUGUAAUAUGGUGGUAUAAUAAUGUAAUAAUAAUAAGUAUAAUUAUAAUUAAAAUUAUUAUCUAUUAUAAUCUAUUAUUAUUUAUAAAUACUUAUAUAGUAUUAUAAGUAAU
This 208-nucleotide ribosomal RNA is filed under the name Naumovozyma dairenensis. RNAcentral describes it as "partial small subunit ribosomal RNA". The record is from RNAcentral. Lineage: Eukaryota; Fungi; Ascomycota; Saccharomycetes; Saccharomycetales; Saccharomycetaceae.